AUGUGGGGCUGGGGGAGCCCAGGAAGCGUUUCCCGCCCCGCCGCCCCCCGUGUCCCCCGCCACCACGUCACCCUGCUGCUGGCAGUGCCCACGCCGGGGCCGUGCUCACCUCUCGGGGGUCCCGCAGGAGAGCCCCCCGUGGGGCAGGGCGUUCUCGCAGACGGAGUUCCUGGCCGUCUCCCCGCAGCAGGCGUAGCGUCCGCCCCGGUAGGGCUGCCGGUGCCUCAGCACGAUCUCGAACUCGUACUCGAUGCUGUUGGCGUUGAGCAGCGCCUUCCGCAGGGACUCGAAGAGGGGCACGCGGCGGUCGGUCCAUAUCGCCGCGCCGCCGCCUCCGGCCCGAAAGCUGGCCGUGGCGUAGGUGAUGUCGUGCAAGCCCAGGAAGUGCGAUGCCUCGUGGAUGAGCGUCCCGGGCUGCGAGUCCUUCUCCAGCUCGCCGGGGGCCUGCCAGAAGAGGGGGCACAGGUAGAUGGUGCGGUCCCAGGCGUUCUUCUUGACGUAGGCGUAGGACCUGGCCCUGCGGGGGUUUUUGCGGAAAGCCGCCUGCUGGAGCUGCGAGACGAGGCUGCGCAGCAGCUUCUUGGUGAGCAUGGCGUAGCGCUCCACCCAGCCCUCGCCCCCCUGGCCCUCCCCGGCCAGCACCACCACGUCCUUCAGGUUCUUCAUCAGCACCCGGUCCUUCCUCAGCGCAUCCUCCAGCAGCUCCAGCGCCGCGCGCUGGGCUCGCCGCGCGAUCCCGCUCUCCUCCUCGCUCAGCUCCUCCGACACAUCCUCGCUGCAGGGCAGGGCGCAGCACGAGCUGCCCGUCACCGCCUUGGUGUGGAUGAGGGUGGCCUUCUGGGGGGACAUCCUGCAGGGGCGGCUGGGUCAGGACAUGGCGGCAGGGGACCCAAAGACCCCAAGCGGACCUCUGCCGCUGCUGGCACAGCACCACAGGGCCACCUCCGGCCUCCCCCUGUCCCCUCCCUGUGCCGCAGGAUUGCCCAGGGGGACAGAGCAGGGCCAGGAGGAGGCAGGAGAGCCCUGCUCCCCACAGCACCGUGGAUUUUCCCCACUUCGCCCCCGCCUCCAGCCCAGACCCCACCCUCCACCUGCCACCUCUGGGCUCCACCAGCACCCCGAGGGCCCCACCGUGGUGUCACCGACCUCACCUGCGCCGUGCCCCCAGCUGGGGGACGGGUGACGGAGGAGCAGACAGCUGGCGGCCCCGUGGGAGCGCAGUGCCGGGGAAAGCAAGCAGCGGCCUCUCAUCGAUAG
Molecule: long non-coding RNA, 1257 nt
Filed under: Anser cygnoides (Swan goose)
Lineage: Eukaryota; Metazoa; Chordata; Aves; Anseriformes; Anatidae
Description: lncRNA (ENSACDG00005013284.1)
Source: RNAcentral